GAUGAACGCUGGCGGCGUGCUUAAUACAUGCAAGUCGAACGAAGCACCUUGGACAGAAUCCUUCGGGAGGAAGACCAUUGUGACUGAGUGGCGGACGGGUGAGUAACGCGUGGGUAACCUGCCUUGUACAGGGGGAUAACAGUUGGAAACGACUGCUAAUACCGCAUAAGCGCACAGUACCGCAUGGUACGGUGUGAAAAACUCCGGUGGUACAAGAUGGACCCGCGUCUGAUUAGCUGGUUGGUGAGGUAACGGCCCACCAAGGCGACGAUCAGUAGCCGACUUGAGAGAGUGAUCGGCCACAUUGGGACUGAGACACGGCCCAAACUCCUACGGGAGGCAGCAGUAGGGAAUAUUGCACAAUGGGGGAAACCCUGAUGCAGCGACGCCGCGCGAAGGAAGAAGUAUUUCGGUAUGUAAACUUCUAUCAGCAGGGAAGAAAAUGACGGUACUUGACUAAGAAGC
Molecule: ribosomal RNA, 465 nt
Filed under: uncultured bacterium
Lineage: Bacteria
Description: bacterial SSU rRNA
Rfam family: Bacterial small subunit ribosomal RNA
Source: RNAcentral